Long non-coding RNA from Gopherus evgoodei (Goodes thornscrub tortoise), 1782 nucleotides. RefSeq lists it as uncharacterized. Lineage: Eukaryota; Metazoa; Chordata; Testudines; Testudinidae. The record is from RefSeq and is a predicted model, not a curated record. The transcript is spliced from 5 exons.
CGCUGAGGUGGCAGGAGGCGGAGAUGCUGCAGAAUCGGAGACUUGUGACACGUCUUGCCCCCUUCGCGGCCCACCCCUCGAAACUGCUGUGGAAGUUAGAGCCCGGGGUGAGCGAGGGCUUCAGGAUAGGGCCCUUCUGCGGGGGGUUGUCUAUUGCACAAGGCAGUUAAGCGCAGUUACAGAAAAGGAGUCGCGGCACUAGUUUAAUGGGAAACUGCAGCUGACGCAGGCUGCAUUUUCAAGAGUGUGGACUGCUGCAGAGUUGUUCCCUUUAAAAACUGCUCAUGUCGCCUUAAAAAGGAUGUUGCUGUUUUGCCAGUGUGCUCUCACCCACUAUGCAGUUCAAGCGCCUCUCCCAUUUAUUAUUAGAGAGUAUCUAUCAUAUUCCUCAUAGAAUGCGGCUGUUUCUGCAAUUCCACUUUUCUUGUGCUGGUUGUUUCUUCCUUCUGCACCUGAUGCUUUGAGAGUCUUCUUACAGUUUCUGUAUAAGCACAGCAGCUCUCAAAGGAAGCUGAGCCUAGAAGGAAAAGCUGUGAGACCUGAGACAGACACCAGUCUACUUGGCAAAUUCCUGGUUGCCGGAUAGUUCAGUCCAGUCUUGGCAACAUCAGCCAUGAAUGCAGUGAGCGGCAUGCUACAUUUGUACUCCUUGUAGUGAGGAGGCAUAGCCUCCCGCAGAGAUUAACAGGGAGGGACUAUAACUCAUCACCUGCUGAGUGGAGCAAGGAAGGUGCCACCCACCCACCAGAAGAAGAGGGCGAAACAGGAAGAGGAAGUAUAAAAGGCCAGCCCUGAAGCUUAGUUGGGCAGGAGCCACCAAGGAAGACAGACACAUCUCUCUUGCUGCUGGAGCCCGAAGAGGACCCCGGCCUAGUGCUUACCAGCAACUGUAGCACACAGAUGAAUUCCAAUUCUAGUGACGACGUACCCAUUUUGUCAGCAUUCAACACCCAACCAUUGAGAUCUUUCUCCAGCUCAGGAAAUGAAGCACACCUCGUUGGACAUUUUUUCUUGCUUCUUGGCAUGUCUUUUAGUGUCGUUUUAUUUUUUUGCUAUUCUCUUACUUGCUUCCCAUUGAUACAGAAUUCACAAGCUGUAGCGCAAUUAUUGUUUUCUUCUACAUAUUCAACAACUUUACAUUUGAAUGCUGCUUGAUUAGCAGACUGUUUUCUUUUGAUUCACUGUUUAUUUUAAAUACUAGUAUGAAAAUCUUAGAAAAUAAUAAUUUAGUUGUAGAUUUUGUAUGACUUUAUAUAGAAAUGUCACCUGCUUUAUCACUGUCCAAUUAUUAUUAUUCUUUCUUUAUUUCCAACAGCCCUGUAGAUUGGCACGUCUUUGGCGAUAACAGGCUAUUUAAAUUUUAUCACAGAUUCCAUUGAUUCUGCAUGUUAUAUUUUCAAAUUGGCUCGAGACUUACAAGGUCCAUUGGUAGAAAUGCAUGAAGAGAUCAAAUUACAUAGUAGUGGUCUGACACCAGUGCCAUAGUAUUAUCGUUCAUUAUAUUUUUCUGAUUCACUUGUGAAGUGUAUUAUUUUGUGAAAUGCAAACGUCAAAUGCAAUGGAGUUCUGCAGCAGUGCUCUUUUAGCUUUCAUUUCAAGCCAGUCCACUAAACAAAGCCUUUUCAACUUUAAACGGCUGCAGUACAGACAUCAAUAAAUUAUUUUAUGAAUAAUAUAAGUACGUGCUAUAAAAAUAAUUAUAAUAGAGUCCCGUAGUAGAAAAAUACUAGGAAAAGCAAGCAGCUAGUACUAGGAAAAUUGAACUUUAGGGAAGCACGUGUU